ACCCUCCAGAUUCCUUAUCCCUCAGAUCUAAAUAUUAGCCUGGGUGGCUAAAAAUAGGGGAAAAGUAAAACUGAAGUGGACUUGGAGUCUUUAAUGACAUAUAAAGUCAAUUCAACAUAUGU
This 122-nucleotide small nucleolar RNA is filed under the name Echinops telfairi (small Madagascar hedgehog). RNAcentral describes it as "Small nucleolar RNA SNORA61 (ENSETEG00000024937.1)". Lineage: Eukaryota; Metazoa; Chordata; Mammalia; Afrosoricida; Tenrecidae. The record is from RNAcentral.